UUUCUUUCAUCCCAAACAGCC
This 21-nucleotide microRNA is filed under the name Prunus persica (peach). RNAcentral's name for it is "microRNA miRNA_313". The record is from RNAcentral. Lineage: Eukaryota; Viridiplantae; Streptophyta; Magnoliopsida; Rosales; Rosaceae.